Molecule: unclassified non-coding RNA, 231 nt
Filed under: plant metagenome
Description: partial contains small subunit ribosomal RNA, internal transcribed spacer 1, and 5.8S ribosomal RNA
Source: RNAcentral
UCUCCGUUGGUGAACCAGCGGAGGGAUCAUUACAGAGUUGCAAAACUCCCAAACCUUUCUGAACGUUACCUAUCCCGUUGCUUCGGCGGGCGGCCCGGGCCCCGCGCCCGCCGCCCCCCGGCCCCCCGUGGGCGCCCGCCGGAGGUAAACCAAAACCGUGAAAUGCAUGGCCUCUCUGAGUGUUAAGUCCAGAAUAAGUCAAAACUUUCAACAACGGAUCUCUUGGUUCUG